CUGCGAGGAAAGUCCCCGUGCCUUGGUGCAGAGAGUGCCUUGGUGCAGAGAGUGUGUGUGGGAGACCGCAGGGCCCUUGCCGAGAGUGGGAGACCGCAGG
This 100-nucleotide non-coding RNA is filed under the name Scrippsiella hangoei. Lineage: Eukaryota; Dinophyceae; Peridiniales; Peridiniaceae. The record is from RNAcentral.